This is an RNA transcript of Macadamia integrifolia, 1039 nucleotides long. RefSeq lists it as uncharacterized. The record is from RefSeq and is a predicted model, not a curated record. The transcript has 3 exons. NCBI's taxonomy places the organism in Eukaryota, Viridiplantae, Streptophyta, Magnoliopsida, Proteales, Proteaceae.
GGGAGCACGUGAAAACAUCAACAAUGGCAAGAUUUCUGCUUUGAUGGGGGGUGUGGCGGUUAUUUUGUCCGCCAUGUCUUGUUGUUGGGGCCAUGCCUUCACACUGCCUUUGAGAUCCAACACAGGUCCCUUACCCCUCUUCACCCUUUAAAUGGCAGAAGUAGAACAGUUGUUGGAUCCUCACAUGCUACCAUGGAUGGAGAGCAACCACUUACUUGCUUGAGCUGCAAUGCACCAUUGUCUUUGCCAAAUAUAUCCCCUUCACUCUUGUACAACCUGUGUCUUCAUUGCCUACAUAAUUCGCAGCCCGGACAACUUUACUUGAGUGAACCACCACCACCAAUGGAAGCGGCGGCUGCCGUAAAUUAUGUCAAUGUAUCACCGCUUCCAUGGCUCAGAGGUGAGAAUGCUAAUUUCAUGCCCACCUAUAUCAAUAGCGUGAGCACUACAGUGAUGCCGGUAGUGCAGAGAACAGCUGGAACUGGUGUAUGGAUCCUUGCCCAUGCAGCUAAUGUACUGCAGCGAGAAAAUUUGAUUGGGAGGGUAGACAACACUAUUGAUCUAACCCUAAGCUUGCAGGGCACAGGUGGAACUGGUGCACGGUUCCAUGCCGAUGUAGCUAAUGAAGUGCAGAGAGAAGUUUUCCUGCCAACAGUUAUGAUGGGGAGGGAAGAUAACCCUAUUGAUCUAACACUAAGGUUGGCUACUGCUGCAGAAGAAGCUAAUCACUAAGAAAGACAAGAUCGUGUUGCUGAUCCAAUGGAUGAUUCUGAUGAUAAUUUCUUGAGUGACGAUCGUGUCACUGAUGAGGUUGAUUUCCUGUCUCGUUUUGGUUCAUCUGGGCCAGCAGAUCAGCCAAAUGAGUGAAUCAGUGGAGUUUUUUGAAAUUGGGAAGAAAUAACGUAUGCUUAUGAGUGUCAUUCAUACCUGUUUUUAUUUUCUAGUUAAUGUUUUCUUUUCAUGUUGUUUUGCGCCUAUUGGACACUUCAGAUUCAUGCACAUUGUGUUGCAUAAUUGUGGAGAAUGAGAAUAGACAUCU